GAGUAAGUCGUUCGAAUGCGAAAGCAGCUAUCAAGGAUACACCCGUUGAUCAAGGGCGAAAGUUAAGGGCUCGAAGACGAUCAGAUACCGUCGUAGUCUUAACUAUAAAUUUUACUGACUAGGGAUAGGACUCCGUCCAUCUCGACUCCUUCUGGAUCUUUGAGAAAUUAUAGUCUUUGAGUUCUGGGGGGAGUAUGGUCGCAAGGCUGAAACUUAAAGGAAUUGACGGAAGGGCACACAAAGAGUGGAACCUGCGGCUUAAUUUGACUCAACACGGGAAAACUCACCAGGUCCRGAUACACGUAUGAAAGACAAGCUGAAAGACUUUUCUCAAUGAUGUAAGUGGUGGUGCAUGGUCGUUCUUAGUUCGUGGAUUGAUUUGUCUGGUCUAUUCCGAUAACGAGCGAGAUCCUAGCGUUCUUAAUAGGGGUUUAAGCCAAGUUUCGGGUAGAAAUACCCUUUUCUAGCUUUAAUUUAUUGCUUCUUAGACGUAUCAGAGCCGAUAAGGUUCUUGAAAUAGGUUAAUAACAGGUCAGUCAUGCCCUUAGAUGUUCUGGGCCGCACGCGCGUUACAAUGGUACACAUAGAAAGUGCCUAUUUUCGGGUUCUCUCCGGGUCCUAACGGCUUCGGUAAACAAUAAUCUUUUCCCUGACUGGGAUAGACUAUUGCAAUUAUUGGUCUUCAACGAGGAAUUUUUAGUAGUCGCAGGUCAUUAUCCUGCGUCGAAUGCGUCC
This 735-nucleotide ribosomal RNA is filed under the name Didymium verrucisporum. RNAcentral describes it as "SSU rRNA". The record is from RNAcentral. Lineage: Eukaryota; Evosea; Eumycetozoa; Physariida; Didymiaceae.